CGGGGUAUAGCGCAGCUUGGCUAGCGCGCCUGCCUUGGGAGCAGGAGGCCGCAGGUUCGAAUCCUGCUGCCCCGACCA
This 78-nucleotide transfer RNA is filed under the name Bacillota bacterium. RNAcentral's name for it is "tRNA-Pro". It matches the Rfam family "tRNA". From Rfam's summary of the family: Transfer RNA (tRNA) molecules are approximately 80 nucleotides in length. Their secondary structure includes four short double-helical elements and three loops (D, anti-codon, and T loops). Further hydrogen bonds mediate the characteristic L-shaped molecular structure. tRNAs have two regions of fundamental functional importance: the anti-codon, which is responsible for specific mRNA codon recognition, and the 3' end, to which the tRNAs corresponding amino acid is attached (by aminoacyl-tRNA synthetases). tRNAs cope with the degeneracy of the genetic code in two manners: having more than one tRNA (with a specific anti-codon) for a particular amino acid; and 'wobble' base-pairing, i.e. permitting non-standard base-pairing at the 3rd anti-codon position. RNAcentral also lists the same sequence under 3 other names. The record is from RNAcentral. Lineage: Bacteria; Bacillati; Bacillota.